RNAcentral lists this long non-coding RNA (2264 nucleotides) under Nicotiana benthamiana. Its description in RNAcentral is "long non-coding RNA (NBEN_LNC028574)". The record is from RNAcentral. Lineage: Eukaryota; Viridiplantae; Streptophyta; Magnoliopsida; Solanales; Solanaceae.
AAACAUCCCCAAACCCUCCAAACCCGUUCCAUUUACAGCACCCCUCAUCCCUCUCCCUUCGUCUCUCUCAAGAGACCAAACACCCAAGAACACUAGCUAGCCGCCACCCCUCCCCUCGCCCGAAAACCUGGCGGCGCCGGCUUCUUUCGCCACCAAAUCAACACCACUGAACCUCCUAACUCCCCUCUCCACAAAUCCAUGACCCGUUUAGUUCGAAUCAUGAUGUAGCUCAUCGAAUCUUCAAUUGAAGAUUCGAGUAAAAUAUAAAACCAUCCCAACCGGCUCCAAACUAACCCAAACAUAUCCCUAGCCUCCCUCGUCACCAAACCAUACCUGGUUUGGUUCGAAUCUUACCCAAACUACUCGAACCCCAAUCUGAGCCCCAAGAACCCUAAAAAUUCAAGCCUGGUUUAAAUGUCCAAUUUGAGAGAUUUGAGUGUUCAAGGGAGCUUAGUCGAAGUGUUCUCAAUUGAGAACACUCGAUUAAGGUCCGUCACCUCAAAGGCUCAAGGUCCGAAAUUGACCCAAGAUGUUUGAUUUCUAAUUUUUUUCUUCUAAAGGUAUUCCUUCUUCUUUUUCUUCUAUUUUUCAUUGACUAAUAUCUGUUCAUUAGUUUAGUUUUGUUAUUUUUAUCUUUUCCAAUUUUUUGCCGAGUUCUCUUCUUCUCUAAAUCGAAGACCUUUUUUUUGGGUCCAUUUUUAUUCUGUUUGAUGUGUUUGUUACAGAAUACUUGUUCGAUUCGAUUAGUAUUGUCGAAUAAUUUGUUUCGUAUUUCCCCUGUUUUGUCCGAAUGCCAUGAGUCCACUAUUUGUGUGUCGAUUAUAUGUGUUGUAAUCGAUUAGAUAGAUGUCGUCGAUUAGUUGUAUAUGUUUGAUUUUUAGAUUAAUGUUGACAAUAGUAUUAUUGAUACUGUCUGAUUUUGUCCGAAUUAUUGUUUGCAUUAAAGUCUGAAUGGUUUACAGCUGAAUUUAGGUUUGAAUUAGUUAUAGGUGAUGAAAUGCAAAACCAGGGAUAGAAUAGAUCACAUGGGUCGUUUAAGGGGUAAUUUGGGAAUUAGGACACCUACUAAUUAAACUAGGGCUGCUAUUAGAUUAAGUGGAAACAUCUCUUAAUGGGAAUGACACUUAUUGCUGGUUUUAAGGGGCUGAAAGGUACACUAAGUGACAAAAUAAUCAGCACUAGUAUUAUAGGUUAAUUAAGAAAUGAAAAAGUAGAAUAUUAAGUGGAGAAUGCACUAAUUGAACGACUUAUUUAAGAGGCUAUGAAUAUGACAUUAAAGAUAGAGAUAGACAUUGAAGGAGGGAGUUUUGAGAAGUCUUAGAAAAUCAGAAAGUUGAGAAAAAUUUCUUUUCAGUCUAAGAGAGAUUCAAAAAGAAACAGAACAAAAACUUCACUGUUUUGAUAACUUCUUUCAAUCAGUUGUGAAAAUCAGAAAAGCUUAGUUCUUAUUUUGGAUAAUAGUCUUAAGGAUUUCAAAAGAAAAUAAUAACUGCUUCAUUACCAUCUCUUGAGUUUUUGUUUGCAAUCUAUAACUAAACUUCAAUUUUCCUAUAGCUCUUUAAAAAACCAAAAAAUAUAGUUUGACCUAGAAGCCCGGUCCAGUGAUACUGUUACAUUAAUUUUGAAAGCUGAAACAGUCAGAACUUCUUGUUUCUGUCCUAUAGUGGAGCAUUAGUGCACUUGAAGUGGUCUUUUGAUCUGUUUGAAGUUCAGUCUAUUGGUCGUGUGGGUUUUAAACUGGUGUUUGAGUUUUCUGCAUUCUAAGCCGUGUCCACUGCUCCAUCCGCUACUGUUUGGUUUUUUUGUUGCUCUUUGAAUUUCUAUUGCUGCUGAUCCUCACUUGCCUCACCUUCUGUUUUUCAGGUACAUGUCUUAUAACCCACCAGAUUAUGAAAAAUGGAAGAAAGUGAUGAUUGUUUUCUCAUAUAGAACUCUCUGUUGAAGUAUGAUUCAUUUCAGUAUGUUAUCCUAGCUUAGUUAGUUGAUUUGUAAAAAACUGGACAUUCACUACUGGAAUUAAUCCAUAGAUUUGAUGAUUGUUAGCCAUGUACUCAUAUGUUCUGUAUUAAUUUGAGUUCUUGAGACUAUCAAUUGGCUAGUGAUUCUCCAAAGAAUAUGUAGUAUUGUGUCUGCGUUUUCGAAUUUUAGUCCACGUCUGAUGUUCAUAUCCAGUUAGUAGUUUAGGUUGCACAUUUCAUGUUAGUUUACUUUCAAUAUUCAUAGUAUAGUUUUCAUAUCAAUUAAAGUACAGGAGGUGUUAAAAU